Molecule: ribosomal RNA, 253 nt
Filed under: uncultured Caldilinea sp.
Lineage: Bacteria; Bacillati; Chloroflexota; Caldilineae; Caldilineales; Caldilineaceae
Description: partial 16S ribosomal RNA
Rfam family: Bacterial small subunit ribosomal RNA
Source: RNAcentral
UACGUAGGUGUCGAGCGUUAUCCGGAAUUACUGGGCGUAAAGGGCACGCAGGCGGCUGUUCAAGUUCGACGUGAAAUCUCCUGGCUUAACCGGGAGAAGCCGUUGGAAGCUGAAUGGCUUGAGGCAAUGAGAGGGAUGCGGAAUUCUCGGUGUAGUGGUGGAACGCGUAGAUAUCGGGAAGAACACCAGUGGCGAAAGCGGCAUCCUGGCAUUGGCCUGACGCUCAUGUGCGAAAGCGUGGGUAGCGAACGGG